AACGAACGCUGGCGGCAUGCCUAACACAUGCAAGUCGAACGAAGUCUUCGGACUUAGUGGCGCACGGGUGCGUAACGCGUGGGAAUCUGCCCUUGGGUACGGAAUAACUCAGAGAAAUUUGUGCUAAUACCGUAUAAUGUCUUCGGACCAAAGAUUUAUCGCCCAAGGAUGAGCCCGCGUAAGAUUAGCUAGUUGGUGGGGUAGAAGCCUACCAAGGCGACGAUCUUUAGCUGGUCUGAGAGGAUGAUCAGCCACACUGGGACUGAGACACGGCCCAGACUCCUACGGGAGGCAGCAGUGGGGAAUAUUGGACAAUGGGCGAAAGCCUGAUCCAGCAAUGCCGCGUGAGUGAUGAAGGCCCUAGGGUUGUAAAGCUCUUUUACCAGGGAUGAUAAUGACAGUACCUGGAGAAUAAGCUCCGGCUAACUCCGUG
This 433-nucleotide ribosomal RNA is filed under the name uncultured bacterium. RNAcentral's name for it is "partial 16S ribosomal RNA". It matches the Rfam family "Bacterial small subunit ribosomal RNA", at positions 29 to 507 of the family's 1533-position model. The record is from RNAcentral.